CACUUAAUUCCUGCCGCAGCCAUAAUGUCUGACAGGAUGCUCACUUCACACUCACAAGUGCAGGUGACAGUCUCCAUUCUCAGGCCUGCCUGGAGAUGCUGCGGAAGGAAGGGAUCAGACUCUAGGACUCUUAAGAAGGAAUAACUGUCAUUGCAGAGCUGGGGUUGUGGCAACCCUGAGGCAAUGUCCUAGGGCUGCAGGCUCCAGUCCUAUGCCUCUGCAUCCUCUAAGACUGUGCCCUAAAACCUCCGGUCUCAAAGAAAGAGGAUCCCGGACUGCGUGGGACAGGAGAUGCUCCAGAGACCUCUGGGUGGCUAUCUAGGCCCUGCAUUAACACAAGAAGUAAAGGGGACCGAGGACUCUGUGGGCUAGAGAGAGGGCCCGAGGGUUUGGUGUAGUUGCUGAGGCUUUAGAUUCCUGUUUCUUUCAGGAAAGUCAGAAAAGGCAAAAAGAGACCAGGCUCAGGGAAGAGCUUUAUUGCUUCCACGAGGGUGGCCUGGGACGACUGCCGCAGCCUGGGUAAGGUCCUUGGGCCUCACUUCCCUCUGGUCCAGGCUAAAGGCAGAACCCAACGACCUGGCAGUCUCGUCGCUGAAACCUAGAACAUGUAGCAAUUUGGUGAGUCCAGGCCUGGGGUAGUCCUAUGGAUCAGCUGCAGCGGUGGAGGGGAGCUCUUCCCAGCAGGCUGAGUCAGGCAUCACCCUCCUGAGCUUUAAAGCUCUUUCUGCUGUAGCCCUGGGGUGGUCUUGUUGGCUCUGAAGGGAUGGCUCCAGGGUUUCCCUAUGGGACAGCUAGGGCUGGUGAGUGGGAAUACCCCAUCUUCUCCCCAAGAAAGGCCAAACAGUGUCAUGAGCUGGAAGGGGCUGGCUUGAGGAGGGUACAGGCUGGUCAUGGCACUCCUGCCCCACAGGGAGCUCACUGGUACUCUAGUGGGCCUCUUCCUACAUGGCAAGUGGACCCAACUUGACAUCUCCAACCUUAUUUAAAAAUAAAUUAUCCCCACC
This is a long non-coding RNA of Callithrix jacchus (white-tufted-ear marmoset), 1004 nucleotides long. RefSeq lists it as uncharacterized. The record is from RefSeq and is a predicted model, not a curated record. Lineage: Eukaryota; Metazoa; Chordata; Mammalia; Primates; Cebidae.